Molecule: non-coding RNA, 94 nt
Filed under: Chordicoccus furentiruminis
Lineage: Bacteria; Bacillati; Bacillota; Clostridia; Lachnospirales; Lachnospiraceae
Also listed under: 1 other name
Description: riboswitch
Rfam family: THF (Tetrahydrofolate) riboswitch aptamer
About the family: THF riboswitch presents a pseudoknot that joins P1-P2 and the loop of P3 and two THF binding.
Source: RNAcentral
GCAGAGUAAAUCCGCGUGCGUCAAGUGCUUCCGGAUGGAGAGUUGCCGGGAGACGAAAAGAGAGAUCUUGCGAUAGGCGGAUUGCACUCGCUGC